AGCGAACGCUGGCGGCAGGCUUAACACAUGCAAGUCGAGCGCUCGUAGCAAUACGAGAGCGGCAGACGGGAGAGUAACACGUGGGAACGUACCCUUCGGUUCGGAAUAACCCAGGGAAACUUGGGCUAAUACCGGAUACGUCCGUAAGGAGAAAGAUUUAUCGCCGAGGGAUCGGCCCGCGUCCGAUUAGAUAGUUGGGGUGGUAAUGGCCCACCAAGGCGACGAUCGGUAGCUGGUCUGAGAGGAUGAGCAGCCUCACUGGGACUGAGACACGGCCCAGACUCCUACGGGAGGCAGCAGUGGGGAAUAUUGGACAAUGGGCGCAAGCCUGAUCCAGCCAUGCCGCGUGGGUGAUGAAGGCCUUAGGGUUGUAAAGCCCUUUCGGCGGGGAAGAUAAUGACGGUACCCGCAGAAGAAGCCCCGGCUAACUUCGUGCCAGCCGCCGCUGUAA
RNAcentral lists this ribosomal RNA (451 nucleotides) under uncultured bacterium. RNAcentral's name for it is "partial 16S ribosomal RNA". It matches the Rfam family "Bacterial small subunit ribosomal RNA", at positions 29 to 523 of the family's 1533-position model. The record is from RNAcentral.